This 587-nucleotide long non-coding RNA is filed under the name Mus pahari (shrew mouse). RNAcentral describes it as "lncRNA (MGP_PahariEiJ_G0004251.1)". The record is from RNAcentral. Lineage: Eukaryota; Metazoa; Chordata; Mammalia; Rodentia; Muridae.
ACAACCAAGAAGGUCUUUAGUCGUAGUUUGAUGUCUUGCUUGGGUCCCUGCAGUGAAAACAAGAUGUUUCUCCCUAGGUUGCUAUAAAACCCAGCAACUCGACCUCCCCUAGGGAGAUCUGGGCUUUCAGAGGAGAAUCUGUGUUUCUACACGAUGAAAACAGAAUUCUCCUGAGAGCUUUCCAUGGAGACUUCUCAUGGGAGGAGAUGCUUGGGGGGGGGGGUCCCAGUUGUUGCUGUCACGGCGAUUUCAAUAUCCACAAUAUUGCCGCUAUACACUGCAUUGACCACGCCUUGGCAAUAUCUCCGGUCUCAUCGACUGCUGACUGACAGACCUGGAAAGGCCCAUCUACUGGGGCUCGGAGUUGAAGAAAUGGAUGGCAGAAAAAAAAAUCACUCAAGGAUGAGUAUGUAGACAAAGAAGACUCAAUAUUGAAGCAAGGGCAGGCUCCCUUCUGCCAUGAUGGUUUGUCACAGUUCCAGAAGCACAGACACCUGACUAGCAACUGAAACCUUUGAGACAGGUGUCUGCCAGGCGGGUUCCCCCCCCCCCCCCAUGGAAAGCUCGGCUUCUAAAUCAGAGCUCUG